AAAUUGAAGAGUUUGAUCAUGGCUCAGAUUGAACGCUGGCGGCAGGCCUAACACAUGCAAGUCGAACGGUAACAGAAAGCAGCUUGCUGCUUUGCUGACGAGUGGCGGACGGGUGAGUAAUGUCUGGGAAACUGCCCGAUGGAGGGGGAUAACUACUGGAAACGGUAGCUAAUACCGCAUAGCGUCGCAAGACCAAAGAGGGGGACCUUAGGGCCUCUUGCCAUCGGAUGUGCCCAGAUGGGAUUAGCUAGUAGGUGGGGUAAAGGCUCACCUAGGCGACGAUCCCUAGCUGGUCUGAGAGGAUGACCAGCCACACUGGAACUGAGACACGGUCCAGACUCCUACGGGAGGCAGCAGUGGGGAAUAUUGCACAAUGGGCGCAAGCCUGAUGCAGCCAUGCCGCGUGUAUGAAGAAGGCCUUCGGGUUGUAAAGUACUUUCAGCGGGGAGGAAGGGAGUAAAGUUAAUACCUUUGCUCAUUGACGUUACCCGCAGAAGAAGCACCGGCUAACUCCGUGCCAGCAGCCGCGGUAAUACGGAGGGUGCAAGCGUUAAUCGGAAUUACUGGGCGUAAAGCGCACGCAGGCGGUUUGUUAAGUCAGAUGUGAAAUCCCCGGGCUCAACCUGGGAACUGCAUCUGAUACUGGCAAGCUUGAGUCUCGUAGAGGGGGGUAGAAUUCCAGGUGUAGCGGUGAAAUGCGUAGAGAUCUGGAGGAAUACCGGUGGCGAAGGCGGCCCCCUGGACGAAGACUGACGCUCAGGUGCGAAAGCGUGGGGAGCAAACAGGAUUAGAUACCCUGGUAGUCCACGCCGUAAACGAUGUCGACUUGGAGGUUGUGCCCUUGAGGCGUGGCUUCCGGAGCUAACGCGUUAAGUCGACCGCCUGGGGAGUACGGCCGCAAGGUUAAAACUCAAAUGAAUUGACGGGGGCCCGCACAAGCGGUGGAGCAUGUGGUUUAAUUCGAUGCAACGCGAAGAACCUUACCUGGUCUUGACAUCCACGGAAGUUUUCAGAGAUGAGAAUGUGCCUUCGGGAACCGUGAGACAGGUGCUGCAUGGCUGUCGUCAGCUCGUGUUGUGAAAUGUUGGGUUAAGUCCCGCAACGAGCGCAACCCUUAUCCUUUGUUGCCAGCGGUCCGGCCGGGAACUCAAAGGAGACUGCCAGUGAUAAACUGGAGGAAGGUGGGGAUGACGUCAAGUCAUCAUGGCCCUUACGACCAGGGCUACACACGUGCUACAAUGGCGCAUACAAAGAGAAGCGACCUCGCGAGAGCAAGCGGACCUCAUAAAGUGCGUCGUAGUCCGGAUUGGAGUCUGCAACUCGACUCCAUGAAGUCGGAAUCGCUAGUAAUCGUGGAUCAGAAUGCCACGGUGAAUACGUUCCCGGGCCUUGUACACACCGCCCGUCACACCAUGGGAGUGGGUUGCAAAAGAAGUAGGUAGCUUAACCUUCGGGAGGGCGCUUACCACUUUGUGAUUCAUGACUGGGGUGAAGUCGUAACAAGGUAACCGUAGGGGAACCUGCGGUUGGAUCACCUCCUUACCUUAAAGAAGC
This 1554-nucleotide ribosomal RNA is filed under the name Escherichia coli O2:H6. RNAcentral describes it as "bacterial SSU rRNA". It matches the Rfam family "Bacterial small subunit ribosomal RNA". The record is from RNAcentral. Lineage: Bacteria; Pseudomonadati; Pseudomonadota; Gammaproteobacteria; Enterobacterales; Enterobacteriaceae.